Long non-coding RNA from Papaver somniferum (opium poppy), 1093 nucleotides. RefSeq lists it as uncharacterized. Lineage: Eukaryota; Viridiplantae; Streptophyta; Magnoliopsida; Ranunculales; Papaveraceae. The transcript has 2 exons. The record is from RefSeq and is a predicted model, not a curated record.
AGCGAAUCUUCUCAAAUCGCACCGAGAGCAAAAAUCCCCUGAUUCCCUGACUUAAACCUCAAUUUAUCUUCUCCAUUUUUGUGAAUUCUCCAAAUAAAGAUCAACAAAUUGUUAACAAUGACAAAGACAUACGCAACAAAAAAGAAGGAAUGUGUAAAAAGGAUAAGCUCAGAGUUUUCAUUGCUAAGAAAUGGAGGGAGAAUGAGAAGAAGUGUUGCGUGUGUAACAGCGUGGUUUCCAAUCUUUCUAAGCUCCCUUCACACAUUGAAGAUCAUAUUGACAGGUAUUAAUAAAAAUCAUUUAUUAAUGUGUUAAGGUAGCUUAGAAAGACUGGCAACCACGUUGUCAGGAGAACAACUAGCAUUUCUGUUCAUUAGGAUUAGGGUUACACUUCUAUAUUAUUCCCUUGCUAUUAUCCUUUGGAGGAAGAAAGAGUUAAGCAAAGAAUAAUAUUCUCCUGACCUUAAGCGAGAUGAACAGAAAUGCUAGUUGUUCACCUGACCUUAAGCGAGAUGAGUAUCUGCAUCUACAGCAAACCAGAUUUUCAAUCUGCACAAGUAUAGCAGUGCAGAACCUUAUGAGUGACUCCUACUUGGCUUAAACCAGGCCACCUUCCUACUUGGAUGAAUCACAGGAUUAUCACCACCACCACUAAUAUCUGUUGCUGCUUGUCUAGUUUGCUUUUUGUAUGAACUGAAUGAAUUUAGUCUUGACAGUUUAGAAAAGUAUAGAGAAUGCUAGAGUUGGGAAGGAUGGCUAUUGCAGUGUGAAGUAAUAAUGCACAGUUUAAUGUCACCACUACCAUUUUUGGUGACCUAAACAACCUGUUGAAGUAAAUUUAAUGAGCAAGCAGAAAUUGAAAGAGAGAGAAAAACAGAGGAAGGAGUUCAAGAAGAUAAUGAGUUUGAAGAGUACCAGUUCUUGUAUGAUUGUUGUUGGAUAGCAUCAACUUUAUCUUUCGCAGUGCGUAUUACCAUUGUGGCGAUAUUGUCGCCGGAUACCCGAUCAAACACGUACGGGUUCAUUCUUGUUAUGAAACUCCUCCUCUGUAUGAUAAUAGUUUCGUGAGCAACCUCUUCCUGCUCUCUUCUUA